AACGAACGCUGGCGGCAUGCCUAACACAUGCAAGUCGAACGAGACCUUCGGGUCUAGUGGCGCACGGGUGCGUAACGCGUGGGAACCUGCCCUUAGGUUCGGAAUAACUCCCCGAAAGGGGUGCUAAUACCGGAUAAUGUCUUCGGACCAAAGAUUUAUCGCCUUUGGAUGGGCCCGCGUUGGAUUAGCUAGUUGGUAGGGUAAAAGCCUACCAAGGCGUCGAUCCAUAGCUGGUCUGAGAGGAUGAUCAGCCACACUGGGACUGAGACACGGCCCAGACUCCUACGGGAGGCAGCAGUGGGGAAUAUUGGAUAAUGGGCGAAAGCCUGAUCCAGCAAUGCCGCGUGAGUGAUGAAGGCCUUAGGGUUGUAAAGCUCUUUUACCCGGGAUGAUAAUGACAGUACCGGGAGAAUAAGCUCCGGCUAACUCCGUG
RNAcentral lists this ribosomal RNA (433 nucleotides) under uncultured bacterium. RNAcentral describes it as "partial 16S ribosomal RNA". It matches the Rfam family "Bacterial small subunit ribosomal RNA", at positions 29 to 507 of the family's 1533-position model. The record is from RNAcentral.